GCAAAAAAUAUUGUAAUCCGCCUCGAUGUAAUUGGACCUAUGUAACAAAAAACCUAUGCAAUCACUUUUUUCAGAUGUACUAUCACACCGAUUUUGCGUAGAAUUACAUCUGGCUCAUCAUUACACAGAAAAACCGUAACGAUUCUCGUUUCCGUUGUAUUUGUGUAAUAUUCACAUCGAGCAAAUGUGAAUAUUACACAGAAUCAGCUGCAACCAACUGGUUACAAUUAAACGUGCGUAUGAUUACACAAAACCGAUGUCAUAUCGCAUUCGUUUGUCAGGCAAUAUUAAGUCUCGCAACACUGCUGUCAUCGACCGGAUCGACGGCAGUCUCGCGAUGAUGCAGCCAUAUUGUUUUUGUUUCUUCUCAAAGUGGCUGCCGUUUUUCUACUUUUCGUAACUUUUUAUAGUUGGCGAAGGAGUAUUGUUUUUUCGAUGAGCGCAGGAAUUGGAAUGUAAGUGGAUGAUCGCUGGUGCCCAUUCCGACUAUUGCCCGAAAAGGUUUUCCCCUGCAAAUUUAACACUAGCAAAUCCGAAGGUUCCGUUCCUAGGCGACGGUAUCACAAUCAAGCCACUUCCGGACUGUGGCAAGUGUGGCCCCGCUGAAGCCACCCUAUCAAACUAAGGAAGAAAUGGAAGAAAAGUGCGAGCAAUCGACUACCGGUGGAGUGCCAUCCAAAGUUGUGGCCAGCUGGUGAAAGCUGUCAGUAACAAUGUUUCGAGAAGAGGCAGUAUCCAGUGUUGGCUGCCCGGUGGGCCCCAAGAAGACAUCCAGUAUGGACAGUUGUCGAGCGAGUAUAUUGGCGAGGUGAUAAACAAGGAACUGGCGUGGAGGUUACAGCAGAAAGUGGCUCGAAAGGACGAGAGCUACUAUUUCAUUGCGGUGGACUCCGAGCGGACAAUCGAUGAGUAUCCCGAUGGAGAACCUUGCGAUACUUUGAAAGGCCGGCGGUGCAUAGUUGGUCGGGU
This is a long non-coding RNA of Aedes albopictus (Asian tiger mosquito), 969 nucleotides long. RefSeq lists it as uncharacterized. The transcript has 3 exons. Lineage: Eukaryota; Metazoa; Arthropoda; Insecta; Diptera; Culicidae. The record is from RefSeq and is a predicted model, not a curated record.